This 71-nucleotide transfer RNA is filed under the name Anaerolineales bacterium. RNAcentral describes it as "tRNA-Met". It matches the Rfam family "tRNA". From Rfam's summary of the family: Transfer RNA (tRNA) molecules are approximately 80 nucleotides in length. Their secondary structure includes four short double-helical elements and three loops (D, anti-codon, and T loops). Lineage: Bacteria; Bacillati; Chloroflexota; Anaerolineae; Anaerolineales. The record is from RNAcentral.
GGCAAUGUAGCUUAAUGGUAGAGCGGAGCUUUCAUAUGGCUCAGGUACAGGUUCGAUUCCUGUCAUUGCUU